Long non-coding RNA from Bufo bufo (common toad), 300 nucleotides. RefSeq lists it as uncharacterized. The record is from RefSeq and is a predicted model, not a curated record. The transcript has 3 exons. NCBI's taxonomy places the organism in Eukaryota, Metazoa, Chordata, Amphibia, Anura, Bufonidae.
ACAUGGUGAGGAUCCCCGGUAUCUUUCAACCGGUCUCUCUAGAUUUCCUCCCUUCUCCAUUAGGUGGCUAUGAACCAACUGAUCUUUAAUGUUCCUGCCCCGUCUGUAUGUUACUGAUGGAUUCAAGAGAAUGAGACCUCAUCGGAGCAAUUCCGACGUGCCCUCAAGUACUGGCCUACAUGAAUUCCUUUCUUCAAGGAUGUGGGGUGCCAGCUAUUCCAAUGCAGAGCUAACUUCCGUGCGAAGAGGUUUACAUCCUUAAUCCAUAGGAACUUGUCACAUUGUGGGACCGGAGUAAAG